This 2810-nucleotide small RNA is filed under the name Histoplasma capsulatum. RNAcentral's name for it is "hypothetical RNA". The record is from RNAcentral. RNAcentral also lists the same sequence under 1 other name. Lineage: Eukaryota; Fungi; Ascomycota; Eurotiomycetes; Onygenales; Ajellomycetaceae.
GUGGCAAUUGGCUAGUGUCGAACUGGUCAGUGGUAUCUGGGGCGCAUUUGUGGGCUUUGCUUUGCGCCAAAAUGCCGUGAUGCGCAUGGCUGGGUCUACUUGCGUGAACCUCGGUGUCGGGUGAAGAUUCUUUCUUGUCUUGGGGAUUGGGAGUUUGUUGGUAUCCGGAGUAAUUUUGGUGGGAUAAGGGUGGGAAUGAUGGGUAUGAACAUGUGUUUGUGGGUAUUUUCUUUUUGUUUCGCCCCCUGCUUCUUGACCUUUUUUUAACGCAUUAUUUGGUUUCGAGAGCGAAAACUGCUACGUUUGUUAUUCUAUUAUUAUUCGGGGUUCCAAACGAUAAUUCACCCCACCCACAAUCAGUUAAUAGUGGCAUCUUCAAACGCUACAUUAUUCUAACGGCAUAAGUGAAAACCGAUGAGAGAAAUCCAUCCAUCCCACCCAAACCUGCCCUGGAACCAAGGGUUUACAACUCGCAGCUGCCCUCCCUCAUGAGACAAUACGUCAUCUGCGCCAAGCUCGCUCCAACACCCAAAUCGACCACAGCUCGCUCACGCCAUUCACUCAAGCGAUACGAAGCAUCCUGAAUCUGAUUUGCGGUCCGCGGUCCACUCCAGAGUACCUCAGCUGCCGCAGCUGCCCGCGGCCAGACCAUCAUGUCCAGGGCAACUGGGUCAACAUUCUCCGACCACAUGUGCGUCUCGCCGCCUUCAAGCAAAUGGUGCAGAUCCUCUGAAAUCCCUUCCAGCGGAUUGUACAUGUACAUGUGCUUCCAGUUUUUCUUCGGGCUACACCAGUCGAGGAAGGGUUCUUUGAUUGCGGUCGAGCUGCGUUUAGGGUUUACGUAGGUGCCUUGCCCGCAAUCGAGGUACCAGGCGUCACCAGAGCCGAAGAUCGUGCGGUAUCCUCGGUCUAAUAGAUAUUUAACAGCAGUAGAGUUGCGCCAUGCUUGCACGAUUAUUUCGGUUUUCUCAGUUGGGGAAGGGGAGAGUGAUAGGUCCCAGUCUGCCACGAGCUCUUCCCAGACAAUAGGUGUGAGUCCUGCUUUGCGGAUGGCGGUGUGCAGCCGAGUGACAACAGCUUGAAGUAAAGGACGGAGGACUUCUUCCUUGCUGGAUCCGAUUGCCUCUUCGAGAAGAUAUGUGUUAAGAUUGAAUUCAUCGCCCCCCGUAUGGAAAUAGCGGGUAAAUGGCGAGACUCGAGGGAGCAGGUCUGCCAUCAACUCGUCAAGGAAUUUAUCCACGUCUGACGAAUUUAACUUGAUUUGCCCGCUGGGAGGUUGGAGUGCAUACUUCUCCCACUCGUCAGCGAGGAAUGCGGAAACCAGCUCGGGAAACGCGUAUCCAAUGGAGCCCGUGUGGCCUGGCAUAUCGAUUUCGAGGAAUACUGAAACACCCCGUUCAAGGCCAUACAUUUGGAUAUCAGACAGCUUGGAAGAGGUCAAUAUCAGACUGGGAUGGUAGGCGCCCUUGGCAGCCAAUUCAGGCAUCGAGGGGAUGUCCAAAGGCCAAGACUGGGAGUCCGUAGCAUGGAUAUGAAGACGGUUCAUUUUCGCGGAAGCCAUUGCAUCAAUUGUACGUUUGAUAUCCUCGGGCGUGUACGCGUUUCUGGAUAUAUCGAGGUUCAGGCCACGGUGACCCCAUUUAGGGGCGUCCGAUAUGGAAAUUGGUGCGUAUGGGGUAUACACCCCCGACCCCGAAGAAUGCGCGUAGAAGAGCUGCUUAAAGGUUUGAAGUGCACGGAUAGUUCCGAUGGCGGAAUUGGUCGAAAUCGUCGCUUCACCGGUAGCAAGUAUUUCAAUGGUGUAGCUCUCAUCUUCGUGGAUGUAGUCUCGGACCUCCCUCUGCGACUGGUUUGCAGACAUUUGCUUGAUUAUAACUUGGCGGAUAACUGCAUCCGGUCGAUUCAAAGCGGGCUCAUAGGAGCUGUUCCGGGGAUGGAAUUUCCAUGGCACGAAUUUGGUGCGAUAUAUUUCCUUCCCGGUGCGCUUGAUAGCCUUUUGUACUAUUUUGGCAACACUUGGAAUUCGUUUCUCUGGAGUCUUGUCCUUCCUCAACCAGGGCGUCUGGAAGAAAUCUAACACCGCCAAAUCCACAUAUGUAGAGAAAUAAUCCCUUGCUUCGGUGGCGUUGUCUGCAUCACUGGGCUGGUAGGAGAAUUCCGCAGAGGACGCGAGCCACACAGUUGUGUUGCCAAACUUGAACUCCUGCAGCUGAGGCCAGACAGCCAGCGAAAAAGAAACGAAGGUGAGCAAGGUCACAAUAGAGGUCAGCAUUGUGAGAGAAAUCGCGAUAUCAAAGGGUAAGAUGGUUUGUAGUAGUAGUACGAAAGGAAGGCGAAAACAUGCAGAUCACAGAUGGCAGUAUUUGAAAAGAACGACGUGGGAGGGUCAAUUCGAACUGACGAUAAACGCAAGUUACUAGCAUUUCCCGUCCAAGUCGUCACAGCCUCACUUGGAAGUGUUCCAAGUAAAAUCCAUGAAGUGAAUAUAUCACAUUCUGUUUACCAUCUCCAAGUUUGGAGCAACACUUACAGAGAGGGGAGGAGUGGGGCAAACGUUGGAUAGCAAGAAUGUAACUCAACAACGGAGGAAUUAGGAUAUGUUGGGAUAGGAUUAGAGUCAACUAAUGGGGCAAUGGCCCGAGAAAAUAUGCGAGUUGAUGUGCACAGAGAAGUUGUUACUAUCAACAGAGUUCUCAGCAUCCCAUAGUUCCUAUCGUCGUUCCUCCAUGCGGGACUGAACGCCAGACCUUUCCCAAACAAAUUCUAAAAAAUAACGAUUUUCAGAUUUCAACCACAUAUUAAUAUGGGGA